UUGAGUCUUUAUAGUUUUAAAACAGUUGGCUUAUUGGCUGCUCUACGUGCCUCUCUUUUGUUACUGGUAAGCCAUUUUUUUUGUCUUUCCAGCAAGCAAAAAUGAUACAUAAAUCUUAGAAUCAUGACAACUUAUUUAACUUUUCAUAUUUGGCAGUGUAGGCAUGUACUAUAAACACUACUUAAAUAUCUUUCUUUGAUUUCAGCAUUUUAGUGACAUCACAUCUUUGUACAACCUAAAUCCUCCUGCUCCACCAGAAGUAGAAGUAAAAUGUGCAUCACCCCCAAAAAACUGGAAUAGCUUCAACACACUCUAUCCAAGUUAUGAUCAGUAUUAUCAGUCUUUAGAGCUGCAUGAUAAAGGUCUAUCUAAUGUGAAUCCUGAAGCCAUGAUCCCACCAUUAAAUCAUCAUGAGGAUUUUAUUAACUCUGACCUUUCAAGUUAUAUGCAAAAGAAGUCAUGUUCUUCAGAUGUAGUUGUGGGGAAGAAGCAGGACUUCUUUGUUGUGCCAAAGGAUUAUGAAGAUUCUGCUCAUCCAGAUGUUAAGGAUUCUGUUUAUGUUCAACGACAGCCCUUCAUGAUGUGCUCUAGCUCUGAUCAUUAUUCCAAAAAUUCUGAAGAGGAUUUCCUUGCAACUUUCAGUGAAUAUGCAUCUCCAGAGAGAUCUAAGAGUUUUCUAGAAGAAUUUAGAGGUGUGACAUCUAGGAGCCCAGAAAUUCUAAUUGACAAGACCCUUUGGAAUGACUGUUCAUCCACUUACACAUAUGAUUCAUUUGCCCCUGUUGAUCCAGAUGAGCUUCAAAGUCCAAACUUUCACCAAACACCUAGAGAAUCUUCAGGAAGGAGAAAAAAUUGUGCAUCAUUACUAUGGACAGAAGAAAAAAAUGUGACAGAUUUAGGAUUUGCAGAAGUACCACAGGGCAAAAAAAGGAGACUGACAUUUGAAAGAGUCCCUGGAAGACGUGAUGGACAAACACGUCUUAAAUUCUUUUGAGUGGAGUGAGGAGCUGCAUACCAUCAAUACUUUUUUAAAUUUUUAAAACAUUUAUAGCAAAAUCGAUUAAAUUCAGUUCUUUGUUCAUUUUUAAAGAAAAAUUGGGGUUGAGGAAGAGUGUUGGCAAUUUGCUCAUUAAGGACUUUUAUAUAUGUUUAAAAUUUUACUAACAAAGGUGUUCCCUGAACCUGGAGAAUUUAUUGCUUUUCUGUUUGUUCUUAUAAGUCAUAUAAG
RNAcentral lists this long non-coding RNA (1228 nucleotides) under Dromaius novaehollandiae (emu). Its description in RNAcentral is "lncRNA (ENSDNVG00000017063.1)". Lineage: Eukaryota; Metazoa; Chordata; Aves; Casuariiformes; Dromaiidae. The record is from RNAcentral.